RNAcentral lists this ribosomal RNA (2352 nucleotides) under Triticum aestivum (bread wheat). Its description in RNAcentral is "partial small subunit ribosomal RNA". The record is from RNAcentral. Lineage: Eukaryota; Viridiplantae; Streptophyta; Magnoliopsida; Poales; Poaceae.
AUGGGGGACGCCGCGGCGGCGUCGCCCCGCGCGGCGCCGGCGAAGCGGCGGCGCGGGGACGACGGCGCGGGGAUGCGGCGGGUGGCGGAGAUCGUCAUGGUGCUGGCCGCCGCCGGGGAGAUGCGAGGCGGGAGGGACCCCACGGCGGCGGAGCGGGCGCUCGCGGCCGAGGCGCGGGAGAGGCUGGCCGCCGCCGUCGCCGGGGGCGCGACCCGGCCCAAGGAUCUGUUCCCGGGGGAGGCUGUGCGCGCCGUCGUCGAGGAUCUCGGCCUCAACAGGGCCAAGGACCCCGCCGCCAUGGGGUUCCGCCCGCCCAAGGCCUCCAUCGCCGACAGGCUCUCGCUUACUAAGCGCAAGAUGGAAGAAGUCAAGGAAUCUCCAGUUCAACCAACAGCAAUCACACCUCAAACGACUGUCUCGAGUGGAACAGCUGAAUUCCAGCCGCAUGGGACUCCCAUGUUUGCUGUUGGAUCUCAUAGGACUCCACCAGCUGCUGCAGCCUCGCCUGCUACUGUCCCAGUAACUUCUACCUCUGUAAUGGCCUUGAAACAGCAUGGAUCAUCUCCUGUAAAGCCAGUUACUAACCAUUCAGUUGUUGCACUAUCCCAUACUGGUCAACCACAUGUUAAGUCAGAAAGAGGUGUUAAUGGUCCUUUGAAUUUAACACGAGCGACUGUUGGCCACUUGAACAAACCGUUUCACGAUACAUCUGCUAGGUCCAAUUCAAAUGCCGCUGCGAGUAACAAUCAGGUCGUGAAAAAUCAGGACACAAAGGUAGCGGCAGUUCAAGCUGUGACCGUAAACCCUGUUAUGGGGCAUCAGGCUACACCAGGGACAGCGUCUUCUGUUACUGCAAAACCUAUUUUUGCCAACCACAAUGCAAUAGCGAAAAGUGUUCAAAAUGUUCUGCAACAACCUGCUAAUCAUCCUAGCUGGACUCCACCAUCAACUGAGUAUAUGCAAGCUCGUUUGGACUGCCAAAUAUGCAAAGUUGCUAUCAUGGAUGCAAACAGUUUGCUUGUUUGUGAUGCUUGUGAGAGGGGAGCACACUUGAAGUGCCUUCAGCAUUAUGGUAACAAAGGUAUUCCUAUAGCUGACUGGCAUUGUCCAACAUGUGUAGCACAGAGCAAGGGUAAACCCCUUCCACCAAAAUAUGGCAAGGUCACAAGAACUGUUGUAACAUCACAGUCUGGUCCACCUGUUGGUGGAACACAGUUUUCUGUUCAGCGAGUGGGGGGAAAUACGGUUGCAAAGGGAAAUCACCAAGCGCUUGCUACAAAUGGAAACAUUAUCAAGCCAAACUCCAUGAAAAUUGGUAACACUGUAAAAAACAGUCCUGUAUUGGCUCUGAAUGCUGCUACUGAUCUCUCGCAAUCACAAGCAGUUUCUAUCUCCGGGCCUGCAAAAGUAAAUGCUAAUAAUGCUGAAACCUCCUCUAAUGAUAUGGAAUGGAAUGAGCAAUCAUGCAGCAGUACAGGAUGCGAACUCACUGCUGGUAGUGAAUUAUCUUUGCACUCUGUGGAUUCACCCAAUGAUACCGUUCACGGGCAGCAAUCUACAGUCACUUCUAGGGCAAAUUGUCCAGAUAAUUCUUCUGCUAUUGCUGCUGAUACGAAGAUCAAGUCUGAAGCACAGUCCGAAGCCCUGGGCGGAGCUGUGAAAAUGGUUGAUAAAAAUGUGACACCUGUGGAUCAAGCAAGCAAUAUUGGCAGUGAACAUAAUAAGGGGACUCAAGCAACCUCUGAGCCAGAGCUAGAUACAGAGAACGAUGUGGAUAUUACUAACACAGAAAAACCAAUAGAUCAAGGUAGCGCUGUUGUUGUGGAAGAGAAAGUCCACACUGAAGCAAACUCUGAACCACAUACAAUCAAUGAUGUAGAGAUGACUACCAGCACUGGAAUCACCAUAGGUCAAAGCAGCAACAUUGCUAUAGAAGGAAAAAUCGCUGUUGAAGAUAAUACUGGAACUCGGGCAACCUCUGAGCCACAAUUGAUCGAAGAUGUGGAAAUGACAUCAGUAAUGGAUGAGAAAAGCGAUGUUGGUAUUGAAGAAAAGCCCCAAUCUGAAGCGACAUCUGUAGUCAAAGAUGUGGAGAUGACCAUCGAUGCUGGAUUGGAAGCAGAUCACACACAACUAGCAGAUGGAUCAACUGAAAAUGGAGUAGGAGUACCUCGCCAUGAAGAGGCAUGCAUAGAUAAGUCUAACUUCAGCGAAAUGUCAGAUCAUCAUACCAACCAUCAGUUAAUUCCAAAUGGGGUGCUACCAGCCACAGAUGAAGCUUUAUGCAGUCAGGAGACUAAGGAGGGUCACCUUGUGGGUUGCAGUGUGGCCCUAAGAGAAGACAACAACUAG